RNAcentral lists this ribosomal RNA (465 nucleotides) under uncultured bacterium. RNAcentral's name for it is "partial 16S ribosomal RNA". It matches the Rfam family "Bacterial small subunit ribosomal RNA", at positions 338 to 795 of the family's 1533-position model. The record is from RNAcentral.
CCUACGGGGGGCAGCAGUGGGGAAUAUUGCGCAAUGGGCGAAAGCCUGACGCAGCGACGCCGCGUGAGGGAUGAAGGUCUUCGGAUCGUAAACCUCUGUCAGCAGGGAAGAACGGUCACUGUGCUAAUCAGCAGUGAAUUGACGGUACCUGCAAAGGAAGCACCGGCUAACUCCGUGCCAGCAGCCGCGGUAAUACGGAGGGUGCGAGCGUUAAUCGGAAUUACUGGGCGUAAAGCGCUCGUAGGCGGUAUGUCAAGUCAAGGGGGAAAUCCCCGCGCUCAACGUGGGAACUGCCUUUGAAACUGGCAAACUGGAGUGUGUGAGAGGAUAGUGGAAUUCCAGGUGUAGGAGUGAAAUCCGUAGAUAUCUGGAGGAACAUCAGUGGCGAAGGCGACUAUCUGGCACAUAACUGACGCUGAGGAGCGAAAGCGUGGGUAGUAAACAGGAUUAGAUACCCCGGUAGUC